UACGAAGGGGGCUAGCGUUGUUCGGAAUUACUGGGCGUAAAGCGCGCGCAAGCGGUUCGAUAAGUUGGGGGUGAAAUCCCCGGGCUCAACCCGGGAAUGGCCUUCAAGACUGUCGAGCUAGAGGACGAGAGAGGUGAGUGGAAUUCCCAGUGUAGAGGUGAAAUUCGUAGAUAUUGGGAAGAACACCGGUGGCGAAGGCGGCUCACUGGCUCGUUUCUGACGCUGAGGCGCGAAAGCGUGGGGAGCAAACAGG
This 253-nucleotide ribosomal RNA is filed under the name uncultured bacterium. Its description in RNAcentral is "partial 16S ribosomal RNA". It matches the Rfam family "Bacterial small subunit ribosomal RNA", at positions 524 to 776 of the family's 1533-position model. The record is from RNAcentral.